RNAcentral lists this ribosomal RNA (432 nucleotides) under Triticum aestivum (bread wheat). Its description in RNAcentral is "partial small subunit ribosomal RNA". The record is from RNAcentral. Lineage: Eukaryota; Viridiplantae; Streptophyta; Magnoliopsida; Poales; Poaceae.
AUGACGGCGGCCUCGAGGCUGUCCUACAGGAACGCCACCGUCGCCCUGUGCGCCAUCAAUGUCCUCGCGGUGGCGCUCCUCCUCCGCAGCCACUUCUCGUCCUGGCCGCGGAUCGCCGGCGGCCACCGGUUCGAUUCAGCUCAGCUACGGUACAUAUGGGAGUCUGAAGAGUUGCGCCGUGCUAUGGAGCCUGUGGAUUUGAUUAGGAGAGUGAAGGAAAUUGAGCAAGAAGCUUAUGGAGAGCCUGGCAUGUCAACAACGCAAGAAGGGACGGCUGCUGUUGACUUAUCGAAAAGGUUGAAAGAUUUACGGCAAGGGAAUGACGGCAGCAGCCAAAGAGCCCUGGAGGAGUGGCGCAAGCGGAAGAUGGAGCGGGCGAGGCAGCGGGCGAUCGAGAAGGACGGGAUGAUGCCCGGUGCAAAAACACCUUGA